UACGUAGGUGACUAGCGUUGUCCGGAUUUACUGGGCGUAAAGAGCGCGCAGGCGGUCGUUCAAGUCGAGUGUGAAAGCCCCCGGCUCAACUGGGGAGGGUCAUUCGAUACUGAUCGACUCGAAGGCAGGAGAGGGAAGCGGAAUUCCCGGUGUAGUGGUGAAAUGCGCAGAUAUCAGGAGGAACACCGGUGGCGAAGGCGGGUCUCUGGGCAACAACUGACGCUGAGGUGCGAAAGCGUGGGGAGCAAACAGG
RNAcentral lists this ribosomal RNA (253 nucleotides) under uncultured bacterium. Its description in RNAcentral is "partial 16S ribosomal RNA". It matches the Rfam family "Bacterial small subunit ribosomal RNA", at positions 524 to 776 of the family's 1533-position model. The record is from RNAcentral.